This 77-nucleotide transfer RNA is filed under the name Candidatus Saccharimonadota bacterium. RNAcentral's name for it is "tRNA-Lys". It matches the Rfam family "tRNA". Rfam says of the family: Transfer RNA (tRNA) molecules are approximately 80 nucleotides in length. Their secondary structure includes four short double-helical elements and three loops (D, anti-codon, and T loops). Further hydrogen bonds mediate the characteristic L-shaped molecular structure. tRNAs have two regions of fundamental functional importance: the anti-codon, which is responsible for specific mRNA codon recognition, and the 3' end, to which the tRNAs corresponding amino acid is attached (by aminoacyl-tRNA synthetases). tRNAs cope with the degeneracy of the genetic code in two manners: having more than one tRNA (with a specific anti-codon) for a particular amino acid; and 'wobble' base-pairing, i.e. permitting non-standard base-pairing at the 3rd anti-codon position. The record is from RNAcentral. Lineage: Bacteria; Candidatus Saccharimonadota.
GGGCCCGUAGCUCAGUAGGUUAGAGCAGUGGCCUUUUAAGCCACGUGUCGUGGGUUCGAAUCCCACCGGGCCCUCCA